This 850-nucleotide long non-coding RNA is filed under the name Nicotiana benthamiana. RNAcentral describes it as "long non-coding RNA (NBEN_LNC006954)". Lineage: Eukaryota; Viridiplantae; Streptophyta; Magnoliopsida; Solanales; Solanaceae. The record is from RNAcentral.
UCUUUCUAUUUCUGACUUGUUACACAGUGAAUCUAACUAGACUACUAUGCUUGUUUGCAGUAAAAUGAAGAGGGUUGUUUUUGUGUGUUCAAAGUAUAUCGAUGGUAAAAGGCACGGUGAUAUUUAUACAGCAAGACUAUGGUGGAGACUUGUCAACCCAGGGAUUUGAUCCUUGGAGGGUGUUGAUCCCUUCCAAGAAUAAAGCGCUGAUCGUUUCUUUCAUGACGAUCUCUUUCCUUUUUUCUGGAGAUGCGAUUGACGGAGAUGGCAGCCUUCCAGUCUUGUAGCUCAUUCAAAUCAGUCGUUAGGGAAUCUUCAGUGAUUUGCAUGAGAUAUGGAGAUGUAUGUGAUUUCCCAAGAAUCAUAGGAGACUUCCAGAUUUGACGAUGUGAUGCUGAUCUUCUCCCUGUGUGCCAACGGCUUCUCUUAAUGAAUAUUUCCUUCCUUUUUUAAUGCUUCAAUCUUGCUUCCUUGAUUUAGUGAGAUGGAAGCUUGUCUUUUAUCCUUGCUUCGCUUGCCUUUUAUCCAUGCUUCAGUGAUUCGGCUUUCCUCCUUGAAUAUCUGCACAUGUAUAUUAAUUGCAUCAUUAAAAUCUAAUCUAACAUUCUCCCCCUUUUUGAUGAUGACAAAAUUAAUAUACUGGAAUAAACAACAGUUGACUUCCCUAUUUAUAUUCAGUUGAGUAGAGGGAAGUGGUUAUGGGGAUUGGAAAGAGGAGAGGAAGGAGAAUUUGUGGUGAGUUUUUGAGCUCAUUUGGAGCUCUGCCGCCGGUGAUGGAGUUCCGGUGAAAUCUAUGGCUUGAAUAAGAAAGAAGAUGUACGAGGAAGAAGAUGUAAGAGGAAGAAGACUG